UGAUCCUUCUGUGGCUGAUAUGUGUGA
Molecule: non-coding RNA, 27 nt
Filed under: Homo sapiens (human)
Lineage: Eukaryota; Metazoa; Chordata; Mammalia; Primates; Hominidae
Source: RNAcentral